Non-coding RNA from Delphinapterus leucas (beluga whale), 632 nucleotides. The record is from RefSeq and is a predicted model, not a curated record. Lineage: Eukaryota; Metazoa; Chordata; Mammalia; Artiodactyla; Monodontidae.
AGUAUUAACCUGAAAUACACAGAGGAUCCAACACCAGUUUUAAAAAUACAUUAACGAGGUAUUCCCAGCUCUUCAAUUAAUAAUGGUGAAUGACUGAUUCAUGAUUUUCAAACAUUCACCCAAAUUUUAAAAAAGAAGAAAAGGCUAAUACCAGCAAAAUCUAUCAGUGGUUUGUUCCCCAGGUUAACAAUUUGAGAGAGACUACAAACGACUCCAGGAGCCCUGGCUUCCCCGCACCAUGCACUGCAUCUAGUCAGCAUGAGGUCAGCAAAACGAAUCAAUGAAACAUGAAAACUCCCAGCUGAGAUGGGCCCUCUUGUGUGCGUCUAGCCACUAAUGCACGGGAUGAGAAUGCGGUCCCAAAGAAAUCUGGUACAUAAAUUUGCCGUAUUUUGUGAAGCCCAUUCUCAGCGAUGGGUACUGUUCAGCUCCAAAAAACAGAAAUGAAGAAAGACGAGGAAAGCUAAUUCAUACUAAAAACAGACAUUUUUAAGACACAGCAACUUGUAAAUAUCAACAUGGGACCACACUGUUGCCUUCAUGGGGCAGCACUCAACAAGAACUGGGACAAUCGAAGAGCAAGUUUUUAUGGGGACCCUGUUGCUGCUUUAGAUUCUGGUGUAAUUGAAGAG